GCUAAGGUCAGUUUACCCAUAAAUAGGUAGAUUAUUUACCCAUAUUUGGGUUUCGUAUCCAUUACCAAUAAUAUGGGUAAAGUUUACCAAUAAAUAUUGGUAAAAUUCACCCAUAUUCUUGAUGAAGUGACUUUACUCAUAUAUGAGUAAAGACUGUUUACCCAUAUUUGGAUGAAAAAAAUAAUAUUUUCUAGAGGCAGCACCGAAAUCGGCCAUUCGCUCGGUUCAUCAAAAAUAAAACAAUUGUUUUAGUUAACUAUUCUCGGAAUUAUUGGAGAACGUUGAGGCAAAUUUGCAAAUUACACAACGCCUAGGUGAAGAGGAAGCAGGUGACCUCUGAACAGAAAAAAAAUUCCUUCGAGGUGGAUUACGGUUGGAACCAGUUGAAUCAGCAGGAUUCUCUGCAAGUGCUCUCGUGUUGGAUUUAGCACCGCUCGAUGAGCUGAAUUUGAGCGUCUUAGUGGAACACGCCCAGCAAUCCACCGGAGUGCAAAUAAACCGGAGACGCACGUUGACCGUGAACGAAUCGUCUAGGACUCCGCUCCCCCUGAUGCCAAAUUUGAAUAGGCCGGCCGGAUGAUGCAAACCGCCCGUAGAAGAAGGAAGUGGCAUUCUCGUUGUAGAAGUGUUCUGUCUAUGCCUCGGCUCCCCCGAGAGCAGUUGAAACCCACCCGAACCAGAGUGGGAGUGGGAAGUAAACCGACACAAGUGGCUCAAGUCCGGACAUUAUUAGAACCAGGGAGGAGUUUGCAUCAAUAUCUGAUUUGUGCAUCUCACUCCCGGUCCUACUCAUCCUGGUCGAGAUCCUGGCCUCAAACGCCCAUACGAGCAGGCGCAAGAGUCGACAAACUGCAUCAGCUGGCGGACCCUCCGGAGCGCAUUGUCCGGAAGAAAGCAGGCGAGCUCCACCAUCAGGAAGCUAUUCGCGAUCCUUUCACCAUUGAUGUUGCUGCACGAUCCAGUCUUUUCCUAUGUAAAACGAAACGCCGACCCAAUCGUUAAAAUCAAUCACCAAAACCCUGCAUGUAUUUUUUU
Long non-coding RNA from Aedes albopictus (Asian tiger mosquito), 1035 nucleotides. RefSeq lists it as uncharacterized. Lineage: Eukaryota; Metazoa; Arthropoda; Insecta; Diptera; Culicidae. The transcript is spliced from 3 exons. The record is from RefSeq and is a predicted model, not a curated record.